RNAcentral lists this ribosomal RNA (495 nucleotides) under Pleurocordyceps nipponica. Its description in RNAcentral is "SSU rRNA". It matches the Rfam family "Eukaryotic small subunit ribosomal RNA", at positions 66 to 567 of the family's 1831-position model. The record is from RNAcentral. Lineage: Eukaryota; Fungi; Ascomycota; Sordariomycetes; Hypocreales; Polycephalomycetaceae.
AUAGCCAUUAUACGGCGAAACUGCGAAUGGCUCAUUAUAUAAGUUAUCGUUUAUUUGAUAGCACAUUACUACUUCGAUAACCGUGGUAAUUCUAGAGCUAAUACACGCUAAAAAUCCCGACUUCGGAAGGGAUGUAUUUAUUAGAUUAAAAACCAAUGCCCUCUGGGCUCUCUGGUGAAUCAUGAUAACUGCUCGAAUCGCAGGGCCUCGUGCCGGCGAUGGUUCAUUCAAAUUUCUUCCCUAUCAACUUUCGAUGUUUGGGUAUUGGCCAAACAUGGUUACAACGGGUAACGGAGGGUUAGGGCUCGACCCCGGAGAAGGAGCCUGAGAGACGGCUACUACAUCCAAGGAAGGCAGCAGGCGCGCAAAUUACCCAAUCCCGACACGGGGAGGUAGUGACAAUAAAUACUGAUACAGGGCUCUUUCGGGUCUUGUAAUUGGAAUGAGUACAAUUUAAAUCCCUUAACGAGGAACAAUUGGAGGGCAAGUCUGUGC